Molecule: long non-coding RNA, 613 nt
Filed under: Triticum aestivum (bread wheat)
Lineage: Eukaryota; Viridiplantae; Streptophyta; Magnoliopsida; Poales; Poaceae
Description: long non-coding RNA (TAES_LNC015460)
Source: RNAcentral
AUUGUGACAGUCCUCCUAACGAACAACUAAUGCCACAUCCACAUGCACAGAAACCAAGAAACCUAGACAAAUCGCUCGCAUUUAAAAAAAAGUAUAUUUGUGAUUGGGAUAUCGCUGAUGGAUGCACAACAUUUGAUAGUGCUGUUGAGAUCGUUUGCUCAACUAAUGAAGGUUAAAAUGAACGUACCUGGUGGGGCAAGAGAUGUGCCGAUGCCAAUGGGAGUAAAUGAUCACCGCAGUUCUACCGGGAAGUCUACAUCUCAGUCUAGAGCUGUCAAGUUCCAGGGUUAACGAAUGAGUGAUAGAAAAAAAGAGCAGAGGAGAUGGUGGAUUGAUGGAUAGGAGAGAAGAGGGGUACUUUUGGAGAAGAUUCACCUUGAGGAGUUGGUGGACUGAUGGAGAAGAGAGGCGUUGGGAUGUACAAUCAUCCUUUGUCGUCGUGGCGUCGCCUGGAGGUUGAGCGGACAGGGCCCAAGGGCCUCGGUAGAGGGAGGGGUCGAGGGUUAGCGGACUGGGAAGGGAAGUACCACGGGCGCGAUGCUGUCUUGUUGGUCUCCGAUCGUCGCCGUUUGCCGGUGCCGCUGCUGGGCGGGAGGGACGCGGCUGAUGGGAG